Prunus avium (sweet cherry) is the source of this 477-nucleotide non-coding RNA. The record is from RefSeq and is a predicted model, not a curated record. NCBI's taxonomy places the organism in Eukaryota, Viridiplantae, Streptophyta, Magnoliopsida, Rosales, Rosaceae.
CACUGACACCAAAAAAACCAAAAAAAAAAACAGAGAGAAAAGGAGCUCAUCAGCUUCGGUUAAAGUUCAAAUUGUUCUGAUUUACAGCGUAAAACUUCCAAGUGUUGGAAGGAACUCCGUGUGCUUCGUGAUCACAAACAAUUGACAAAGCCUAACUUGUCGUGUCACGUCUUCUUGCUUAAAUUCUCAAAUCCCAAUUACACAAGAGUUUUUAAAUUCCCUCAAUUUUCGUGUGCUAUUACAAAACUGUGUGCUUGCUCGUGGAGUCAGCAGCGCAUGCUUGAUCAACGACGAUCGUCCUUCUCUCAUAGCCUCUGAUCCAACAAUUUCUUCUUCUCAGUUUGCCUUGUAUAAUUUGACCCACACAAUGGCGCAGAGUAAUUGGGAAGCAGAUAAGAUGCUUGAUGUGUACAUUUAUGAUUAUUUAGUGAAGAAAGAAUUGCAUGCCACUGCUAAGUCUUUCAUGAAUGAAGGGAA